RNAcentral lists this unclassified non-coding RNA (260 nucleotides) under Hevea brasiliensis (rubber tree). Lineage: Eukaryota; Viridiplantae; Streptophyta; Magnoliopsida; Malpighiales; Euphorbiaceae. The record is from RNAcentral.
GAUUCUAAAAAUCUGGUCUGGAAUUUAAUAGGUAAUCCGAGUGAAGUAAAAACAGAAUCGGAUACCACAAGCGUCAAAUCUUGAGCAACCCCAUCUCACUUUUCACUUGCUAAUCAAUAUUCAGAAAGAGAGAGAGCAAGCAGGGCGAAGGAAGAUAAAGAAAAUUCCAAAUGAAGCUGUUGAUGAAGAUGAAAUAUUGCUGCUAGAUUCUGCGGAGUGAAUUUGAGAGAAUUUGGAACAGAGAGAGGCCAAGAAGAGAG